Saccostrea cuccullata (small rock oyster) is the source of this 738-nucleotide long non-coding RNA. RefSeq lists it as uncharacterized. The record is from RefSeq and is a predicted model, not a curated record. Lineage: Eukaryota; Metazoa; Mollusca; Bivalvia; Ostreida; Ostreidae. The transcript is spliced from 3 exons.
UUUUUUCUACCCAGCCUAAGACAUUUAAAAUAAUCUCCUUGGCCUAUAGAACUUUAAAAUCAUGGUUUAUGAUAGCCAUGUGGAAAGAUCGCAAAUUUAUUCGGCCAUGUCAAAAAACCUGUAUUGACAUAACACUACUGGGUCACCAAUGCCGUGGAAAUGGUCAAAUUAAUAUGCUUAAAUAAUUCUGAAAAGAGAUGUUGCCUAAGGGUUUUUCUCUCUUUUUCCUGGGAUUACAGAAGUUAAAAUACAAAAGUUUUACACCAGCUAGGGCCCCCUUGUCACAUAACACCACGUUUCUCCUGUUACAUGGCACAGAACAUUCUUUCUACAAUUUUAUUUUUAUUUGUGGAUCUGGAGGAUGAAUUGCACACACCUGUCAGGUGGACUUUCAGUGUAAUAUAUUGACCAGUCAACCUCCUUAUGAGAAAAGAUGAAAUAACUUGAGAGUUCAUGACUUCAGGUGAAGUACAAAUCCACCAAAUAAGAGAAUACCCUUCAGUAUGAUUUCUAGAUUUGAUCAUGCUAUGAGCAUACAAUGAAAAGGAGGAGUAUCAUUUUCCCAUUUCAAUUUUCAUCUGCAGAGGACCAGACUAAUGUCAAAAUUUGACGGUCCUGUUUGCAAGGCUGGUAAAAAAUUUGACUGGACUGAUAAAUUUCAAGAAAAUGUCAGUCCAAAUGACCACAUGAUGCAAAUUGUAAAAAGAUGGGAUUGAAUCAGAGUGUGCACGUGAAGGG